Molecule: long non-coding RNA, 1169 nt
Filed under: Anser brachyrhynchus (Pink-footed goose)
Lineage: Eukaryota; Metazoa; Chordata; Aves; Anseriformes; Anatidae
Description: lncRNA (ENSABRG00000002333.1)
Source: RNAcentral
AUUCAGUAUCUUUGAGGAACAGACAGAACCAAAUUUCUGAAAAAUAGCCUAUUUCAUCCCUCAGAAAAUUGAGCCUGUAAUUAUAUUCUAGAUCUUGAUACAGACAGUAUUUAUAUCAUUGCUAUGCACUUGUUCUUUAUAGGUAUGUUAACGUGCCAUUUUUUAAGUUUACCUAAUUUUUAUGUAUAGCUGAUUCAUUUUUUAGCAGCAGUAAAGGAACCUUGAAAACUUUAAUCUUUUUUCCACACAUUUUUUUGCAAAAAUCCAGGCACAGCUUCCCAUAGACGAGCUCAUAACGGAGCAUUUGCAGCCUCUGUAUUUACAGAAGGCCACCUGACACGACACAAAGCAGCCAGCGAAAGCUGAAUUCUUCCCCAGCGGAGCAAAGGGGUGAAGAAAUACUGAAAACGUGAUCCCAUGAGGGAUAACUUGGCCAGACUGCACAUGCAGCAGCUCCCGGCAGUGUGAGCAGGGUUUGGUAGGGCUCACGGGGGAGGCAGGCAGGUGGGGAGCUGCGAUUAGCCGGGGCCUCAGCGGGGACGGACGGGGUUAUCGGCGGCGGGAUGCCUGCCAGGUCACGUGCAGAUAUUUCUCUGAAGCGGGCGAUCGGCAGGAGUUUAGCAAUAAUAAAACGGGAUAAAGCGUGUUUGCAUAAACACGGAAAUGAGGCAGGCUCACACCACAAAAACAGCUGCAAAAACUGUUGGCGUUUUGGGGUCGGCCGCUUUCAGCUGAAAGACAGAGCUACAUAGUUCACUGUGGCAAGCUAAUAUAUUUAUGGUCCAAAGGGCUCUCCUCACCCCCAGACUUGAGGCUUACAGAGGAAUCCAAGGUGCUGCACACCAAGUACAUCUUCAGCGUGGAGGUCUCAACACAUUUUUGGAAUGUAUGGGCAUCACCCAUGCUUACAGAGAGGUGGAGCUCAGGUAUGGGCCCAGCUAUCACAUGUGUCUGAAUUUCUCACCUACACAGCCAGCCAUCAGGUGCCUGACUGAAUUUGCAGGUGCACACUGAGGCUUAGUGGAUGACAGAAGGUGUGUCCUGUGAAGCAGUGAACUGAAUGCAUCAUGCACUGCCUGGCAGCUGGGAAGGACAUACAGCACGCUUGGAAACGAGAAAACAGCACACAGACGUGGGAUCUAAUAAACUGAGCCAAAAUUUGGAGCCCA